GGCUAAUCCAAUGAUAGUGAGUUAUCUCAAUUAAUUGUUCACAGUCAGUUACAGAUUGAACUCCUUGUUCUAUUCUUUCCUCUCUUCUCACUACUUCACUUGACUAGUCUUAA
This 113-nucleotide Y RNA is filed under the name Prolemur simus (greater bamboo lemur). RNAcentral describes it as "Y RNA (ENSPSMG00000001237.1)". It matches the Rfam family "Y RNA". Rfam says of the family: Y RNAs are components of the Ro ribonucleoprotein particle (Ro RNP), in association with Ro60 and La proteins. The Y RNAs and Ro60 and La proteins are well conserved, but the function of the Ro RNP is not known. In humans the RNA component can be one of four small RNAs -- hY1, hY3, hY4 and hY5. The record is from Rfam by way of RNAcentral. Lineage: Eukaryota; Metazoa; Chordata; Mammalia; Primates; Lemuridae.